UGAGGACAGUGCCUGGUGGGUAGUUUGACUGGGGCGGUCUCCUCCCAAAGAGUAACGGAGGAGCACGAAGGUGGGCUAAUCACGGUUGGACAUCGUGAGGUUAGUGCAAUGGCAUAAGCCCGCUUAACUGCGAGAAUGACGGUUCGAGCAGGUGCGAAAGCAGGUCAUAGUGAUCCGGUGGUUCUGUAUGGAAGGGCCAUCGCUCAACGGAUAAAAGGUACUCCGGGGAUAACAGGCUGAUACCGCCCAAGAGUUCAUAUCGACGGCGGUGUUUGGCACCUCGAUGUCGGCUCAUCACAUCCUGGGGCUGAAGUCGGUCCCAAGGGUAUGGCUGUUCGCCAUUUAAAGUGGUACGCGAGCUGGGUUUAGAACGUCGUGAGACAGUUCGGUCCCUAUCUGCCGUGGGCGUUGGAAGAUUGAAGGGGGCUGCUCCUAGUACGAGAGGACCGGAGUGGACGAACCUCUGGUGUUCGGGUUGUGUCGCCAGACGCAUUGCCCGGUAGCUAAGUUCGGAAUUGAUAAGCGCUGAAAGCAUCUAAGCGCGAAGCGAGCCCUGAGAUGAGUCUUCCCUGACGGUUUAACCGUCCUAAAGGGUUGUUCGAGACUAGAACGUUGAUAGGCAGGGUGUGUAAGCGUUGUGAGGCGUUGAGCUAACCUGUACUAAUUGCCCGUGAGGCUUAACCAUACAACACCCAAGGGGUUUUGUA
RNAcentral lists this ribosomal RNA (707 nucleotides) under Vibrio cholerae. RNAcentral describes it as "partial 23S ribosomal RNA". It matches the Rfam family "Bacterial large subunit ribosomal RNA", at positions 2246 to 2925 of the family's 2925-position model. The record is from RNAcentral. Lineage: Bacteria; Pseudomonadati; Pseudomonadota; Gammaproteobacteria; Vibrionales; Vibrionaceae.